This 238-nucleotide long non-coding RNA is filed under the name Pan troglodytes (chimpanzee). RNAcentral's name for it is "long non-coding RNA NONPTRT012490". Lineage: Eukaryota; Metazoa; Chordata; Mammalia; Primates; Hominidae. The record is from RNAcentral.
CUCCAGGUGCUUAUCUCAGAACACGUAUGCAGUGGUGAAGACCGAAGUUCUGGAUGGACACCAGCUUUCGGUGUGACUUUGGCAGGUACCCUCUUUCUGGGCUCUUGCCCCCUUACUGAUAGUUUUGGUGACCAGAAGUGCCAUUUUUUGAUGGGCUUCUAGAGAUCCUCCAUCAGGGAUACCAGACAUGUUUGGCAUGCCUGUGCUGCUGCGAGACGCUAAGCGUGUGUCCAGACUA